AUGAUCAUAGUAUUCUGCUUCCUUCAGCCUUAAAGUUGCAAGAAAGUGUUUCAUCUUCAGGCAUGAAGGAGCAAAAACAAAUCUUCUGUCAUUGAGGUCAGUGAAACUAUGCUUGUUUCUAUCUCCAAGACUGAAUGAAAUCCUGAUUCUUUGAUGACAAUGAAAUUUUGCUACCAAGUAAAAUGAUUCUGUCAUUUCACUGUCUUAUUUCCAUAUUAGUGUUUUGCUAGGAAAAGUAAAGUCUCUUACCUUUCUGCUGUUCUUGAAAAUAGUACUUUUCACAAUAUAUUUCCAGAGAUCUCUGAACUGAUAUUUGCCAUUAACUUUGUGUUUAGUUUUCUAGCAUUAUGCAUAAAUAAUCAAGUUUACCUUAUUCAGGGUAAUUUAACUUACCAUUCAAUCCUGUGUUUUUAGGGAAGGACAAUCUGCCUCUUUUAUUCAUGCAUAUAGUGUGACCCUCUCUUUGAGGCAUUACAGACUCUGCCUUAUUGGCCAGAUUUUUCUCCUGUUUAAUAUACUGAAGAGACCAUCCAAUCCCUCUCCUUCAAAACAUUUCUAGAUGGUGAUUUAGAAAGGCAUUCUAGCUUGUUAACUUUUAACCAGCAAAUGUACCUAUCCAUUACAAUUACUGGGUUUAUGGCAUUGCGAAAUUUCUAGGGGGGCCUGAAAAUACUUUUGUUAUCUCCAUUUCCCUCCUAGCUAUGCCUGAUUCUGAACAGAUCAUAUUCUCUCUAUCUUUCAGUUCUGCAUAUAUAGUCAUGCAGAUAACAAGAGUUCAGGACAGGAUCUGAUCAGUGCAUUUUAUGCAGAAGAUUCAGUGAAAUCGGUAGGAUCAUUCUUUGGGGGGCGUCCUCUUGUCCUAUAGGAGGUUUCAAACCAUUUACUCCUGACCCUAUUUAAAGUUUUACUCUUUAUAUUUAAGCAGUCUUUGAAAAAUGAUGUUCUCUGUAUUGUUUCUGGGAAGGCUGACUUCUUAGUCUUUUUGGGAUGAAGAAAAGAGCAGGCAGGAAAUGAUGAAACUUUGUAAUUAGAAGGGAAUUAGAUAAUUGCUUCCAGCAAUAGAUUAGCUCAAUAACAAAAAUAAUAAGACAAUAUUGGGGUUAUUUGGAUAUGUUUGCAGUGUCUUCUGUGUAGUUUAGAGAUAACUGAACUAUAUUUAACCCAGAUAACUUAAGUAUCUUCAGCACUCUAACCUGACAGCCUAGAGCUCAGCUGUGCUGAUUAGAUGUACAUAAAAAGAAUGGCAGUGUCAGGUCUCUGCAGUGGAUGAUCCUAUUCAGCAAUAACAGAUCACAUGAAUCAUUGUACUGAUAUCUACCUUGGAUUUUAUGGCUAAAUUAACUAGGAUAAAUGCAAUAUACUGAAUCUCUGAGAGUCUGGAAUUUUUUCUUAUGUAUAAUCUGAAGCAGUUGAAAGCCCUUACAUUCACAAAAUUAUUUAUGUUUUAUAAUUUAAAUGGAUCAAUGUAGAUUAAUAUUGGCUGUUCCUCUCUUGUAUUUUUCAGACAAGAGAUUCAUGUCCUUCUCUGUACAAUUGAGUAUUUUAUGUUCCAAAUGUCACUUGAGGUCUGCUGUUCCACUGUCUGCCUCUGCCUAGUAUAUAGGGCAAAAGGAAUAACACGUAUUUUUCAAAAUACAUGAAAAAGAAAACAACUUCUGUAACUGAUCUCCUUGUCUUAGCUCCUCAUUGCAAACAGAUCUGUUUAGCAAAAGUGACAGCGCCUACAAUUCUAAUGCCAGCCUUCUUAAAAACGGAAUUGAAUUUCUGUCAAGUACUGUCACACUUGCUAAACAGCUGUGUGUGUGAGGGUGACCUUGAACACCCAGAUUUGAGUCUCUGCUUUUGCUCUUUCAGUUCUGCUUUGAUAGGAUCUCCCAUGACCAGUUCAUCAGUGACAGUCCAGAUCAUACACUGUGUACAACUGCAGGAGCACAAACAGAAGAACCAGCUGUGGAGAGUGCUGGUGUGUACAGCUCUGGGCCCCAUCCCUCCUUGGGGGCUUGGUAAGAAUGGGUAAGCAGCAUGAAUUUGUCUGCUUUGGCCUUGCCAGACUGGUGGAAUUCCUGCUGGCAGCUGGUAACCAGACAGUUCCAUUUUAAAGUGAAUCAUCUUCUGUAACCAAGUGGAAUAAAAACAUGGACACACACCUACUGCAGACAUCUCCUCUAAGCCACAGCUAUUUGUUGUCCUCCACUUUUGUAUCUUCAGUGUACAAGUAUAGACACUGAGUUUCAGAAAAAUAUGUUGGAUGAGGAGGGUAGGGGGCUACCACUUAAACACUCACCAUUCAUGAGCCUGUCUUUUUCUUCAGCCUGUCAUGAGACACAGUAGACAUCAGAUCCUCCUCUGAAGAGCCAGGUUUCAUCUGAUCCUUAACAUACUGGCCAUGAAAUUUCAGUUGUUGCAAACAACAUUUUGUCAGACUGGGCAUAAGUCUACAGAUUGUGAUCUGGCAAUACUUUCUAUGGUCUUCACAUGCAGAAACCUGACAGUGGGAGAAUUGCAAGGCUGGGACAUCAAAAGUGCCAAAGGACAAAGACAUUUUUAUUCUAAGGUUAGAACUUGAGGUUUGCUGGCUCUUGCUAACACCUAUUUAACAAACGUGCCUCAGAGGAAACUCUUUUUGUUAACAAUUCAACCUCU
Molecule: non-coding RNA, 2643 nt
Organism: Sturnus vulgaris (Common starling)
Lineage: Eukaryota; Metazoa; Chordata; Aves; Passeriformes; Sturnidae
Source: RefSeq, a predicted model, not a curated record